AUGGUGACUUUGUUUUUAUCAUAUAAAUUUGGAGAGAUCACUCGAACUGUACCUUUCAUGCUUUCUUUCCUUGCUUCAAUAACAGAUAUGGAGACUUUAUAUAUUUCCAUGUUUAUGAGUCUUUUAUCAUGUGUCCGGUCAGAUAUUGUCUUGUCCCAGAAAAGUACUGAAGUCAAAAAACCUGGAGAAUCUCUGCGACUGACCUGUCACGGUUCAGGGCAGGACAGUGCUGGAAAUACAUUUACAGAUUACUACUUGAAUUGGAUUCGACAAGAGCCUGGAAAAGGACUUGAAUGGCUGGGCUACAUUAGUGAUGACAGUAGCGAUGUAGAGUAUGCCAGCAGCAUUCAAGGACGAUUUACAAUCUCCAGAGACAAUGCUAAACAGGUUCUGUAUUUGGACAUGAAUAACCUCAAAACUGAAGACACAGCCACAUAUUUUUGUGCUACAAGCACAGUGAAUCACUUCUUGCUGCCACUCAUACAAAAUCCUCAGCAAAAUCUUUUCUGUCCCCCGUCUCAAAAUUGA
Non-coding RNA from Erpetoichthys calabaricus (reedfish), 528 nucleotides. The record is from the annotation of a RefSeq genome assembly. NCBI's taxonomy places the organism in Eukaryota, Metazoa, Chordata, Cladistia, Polypteriformes, Polypteridae.